This 253-nucleotide ribosomal RNA is filed under the name uncultured bacterium. Its description in RNAcentral is "partial 16S ribosomal RNA". It matches the Rfam family "Bacterial small subunit ribosomal RNA", at positions 524 to 776 of the family's 1533-position model. The record is from RNAcentral.
UACGAAGGGUGCAAGCGUUACUCGGAAUUACUGGGCGUAAAGCGUGCGUAGGUGGUUUGUUAAGUCUGAUGUGAAAGCCCUGGGCUCAACCUGGGAACGGCAUUGGAAACUGGCUUACUAGAGUGCGGUAGAGGGGUGUGGAAUUCCCGGUGUAGCAGUGAAAUGCGUAGAUAUCAGGAGGAACACCGGUGGCGAAGGCGGAUCUCUGGGCCUUACCUGACGCUGAGGCGCGAAAGCUAGGGGAGCGAACAGG